This 156-nucleotide ribosomal RNA is filed under the name Triticum aestivum (bread wheat). RNAcentral describes it as "partial small subunit ribosomal RNA". The record is from RNAcentral. Lineage: Eukaryota; Viridiplantae; Streptophyta; Magnoliopsida; Poales; Poaceae.
AUGCAGUCGACGUGGAAGCGGUGGUCGCACUUGGGCAGCGUCCGCACCUUCUCGCCGUCGGCCACCUCCGAGAGGCACACCGCGCACUCGAGCGCGUCGCGGCUGCUCCUCCUCCCCUGGCCGCCGGGCGUCUUGGGCGAGGCGCCGCCGCCGUAG